GCCUGGCUGGCUCCGUCGGAAGAGCAUGCGACUCUUGAUCUCGGGGUCAUGAGUUCGAGCCCCAUGUUGGGUG
This is a non-coding RNA of Ailuropoda melanoleuca (giant panda), 73 nucleotides long. NCBI's taxonomy places the organism in Eukaryota, Metazoa, Chordata, Mammalia, Carnivora, Ursidae. The record is from Rfam.